RNAcentral lists this long non-coding RNA (732 nucleotides) under Rattus norvegicus (Norway rat). RNAcentral describes it as "long non-coding RNA NONRATT006354". Lineage: Eukaryota; Metazoa; Chordata; Mammalia; Rodentia; Muridae. The record is from RNAcentral.
ACUCACUCAUUGACUUCCUAUGCCUUUGUGCAAAUCCGAGGACAACUUUGUGGACUCGGUUCUCUCCUUCCACCUCUAUGUGGGUUCUGUGGAUCAAGCUCAGGUCAACAGACUUUCACUUGCUCACAGUAGAUGCCUUCCCUGAUGAGCCAGCUCCUCGGCUCCCACAUUACUUUUGAGACAGGGCCUUUCACCUGGAGCUCAGUGAUUCAGAUAGGCUGGUUUAGUCAGCAAGCCCCAGGGAUCUCUCCGUAUCUCCACUUCCCAAGGGCUGGGAUGAUAGGCACUUGUUAUGCUGCAAUCCAUGUGUCUUAGUUGGGUUUUUACUGCUGUGAUAAAGAACAUGAGUGUCGUAGUCAGGGUUUCUAUUCCUGCACAAACAUCAGGACUGAGAAGCAAGUUGGGGAGGAAAGGGUUUAUUCAGCUCACACUUCCACACUGCUGUUCAUCACCAAAGGAAGUCAGUACAGGAACUCACGAAGGUCAGGAAGCAGGAGCUGAUGCAGAGGCCAUGGAGGGAUGUUACUUACUGGCUUCCUUCCCCUGGCUUGAUCAGCCUUCUCUCUUAAAGAACCCAGGACCACUAGCCCAGGGAUGGCACCACCCACAAUGGGCUGGGUCCUCCCCCCUUGAUCACUAAUUGAGAAAAUGCCUUACAGCUGGGUCUCAUGGAGGCAUUUCCUCAAGGGAGGCUCCUUGCUCUGUGAUAACUCCAGCUUGUGUCAAGUUGAC